UGCAUGUUCUUUGUUUAAACCACAUUGCGCGGCAAACACAGUGGUGAGAGCACUGUUUCGUCUGACUCUUUUGCCGGCGGUGGUUUACCCGAGCGGUACACUGCAGUCUUCCUGCUCGUCUGCUUCCCUGGGCUCCUGUGCAGUAUUACCGUCAGGUAGUAAAAGCUUCCAACGGUUAUACCGUCAUCAGCAACUAAAAAAAAUAAAAGAGUUUAUUUUCGUA
Molecule: long non-coding RNA, 223 nt
Organism: Sardina pilchardus (European sardine)
Lineage: Eukaryota; Metazoa; Chordata; Actinopteri; Clupeiformes; Clupeidae
Exons: 2
Source: RefSeq, a predicted model, not a curated record